AACGCACAUUGCGCCCUUUAGUAUUCUGAUGGGCAUGCCUGUUCGAGCGUCAUUUCAACCCUCAAGCACUGCUUGGUGUUGGGGCGCUACGGUUCGCCGUAGGCUCUUAAAACUAGUGGCGGGUCGCCUGUAAUCCCGAGCGUAGUAGUUAAUUCUCGCUUAGGGUCUUGCGGGAGAUUCUUGCCGUUAACCACUCAAAUAUAAAAGGUUGACCUCGGAUCAGGUAGGACUACCCGCUGAACUUAA
This 246-nucleotide unclassified non-coding RNA is filed under the name uncultured fungus. Its description in RNAcentral is "partial contains 5.8S ribosomal RNA, internal transcribed spacer 2, and large subunit ribosomal RNA". The record is from RNAcentral. Lineage: Eukaryota; Fungi.